CCUUUUCAAUUUCGGCAAAGUCGGGUUGUGUUUAUUCGAAAAUCAAGAUGGUCGAAGCAGUUUUGAUCUGUUUUUACAGACUGCAUCAUAAGUUUUUGUGCAACUUUUAUAUGAUUAGAUGACCAUACUGGGAUCAAUCUUUCAAAUUAAAAUGUAAUUUUUCGACAUCGGAAAAAUAAAAAAAAUCUAUGCAACCACGUGGUCGAAAUGGACCGGUAUCAACAUGGCGAGCUGCUUAUAUGGUUUCCUAGGGAAAAAGGAAAAGUGCAUUCUUUACUUAGGAUUUAGGAUUUUCCUUGGCCUAAUGUUCAAUUGAGGUUAAGCCGAAAUUUAGAAGCCGAUUCAAUAUGAUACUUUGAAAACCUGCCCACGUGACUUAUUUAGGGACUGUGAACAUGUUGAUUUUAAAAGAUAAAGUAGACUUCAACGAGCGUGUUGCUUUGAUAUCUGGAACUAGCUUUACGUUGAAUUUACGGAUGACGGUGUGUAUGGGUUCUUUUUAAUCUGGAUAAAUAAUGCAAGGCCGCAAGAAUUUGCUGCUAAAUUCAUGUAAAAUGUCGGGCUUUGAAUCAACCUUGACGUCUGAUUCCGGUAGUGCUAUCUUUAAUUCGUAUUGGGGAAACUGAAAGCACAAUAUUGAUGGAUAGUUUCCGUUCGACAAUUGAACAUAUGGAUAAACGAGCAUUGCUGUAUGAUGAAUUGAUGUAAUGUUCGAGUAACUAACUCGUUAAAUAAAGAAUGAAAAACCAACAAA
Drosophila albomicans is the source of this 754-nucleotide long non-coding RNA. RefSeq lists it as uncharacterized. The transcript has 11 exons. Lineage: Eukaryota; Metazoa; Arthropoda; Insecta; Diptera; Drosophilidae. The record is from RefSeq and is a predicted model, not a curated record.